GCCUUUUGACGCGUCAUGUAAUCUUCCUUCUAAUGGCGCAACUCCUCCCACUCAUUCAUAAUCCGACCUCCGCGUUUGCACUCGUCCUACAAGAGCUCCCAAAUUUGAACAUCACUGAUGUUCAUCGGAUUUACAGAGUGACGACAAACCCCGUCAGCAUGUUAGAUAAAGGAUUUAAGUUAUAUGCUGCAUCAUAUAUACACAACUACGAAGAUUAAGCUUCUGGAUUCAUCGCCAGUGCUCCUGUGUGGCAGGUGCUGUUAUGUGCAAUCACACAGUGGCACUGCUCUUCCAAACAGCACACUACUCACAACUCAGAGUGCCGGUUGUCCCCUGUGCAUAGCUGCACCGAAUCUGAACAGCAAUGGCACAAGCCACGGACAGUGGGUGUGAAGCCAGGACCUAUCAACUCUAUGAUCUUCACUAAGCCGGUACCAAAUAGGAUGGCCCAGACUGGAGUACGGUAAUUAGAUUUGUAAAAUUUGGUUUCCUGUGUUACAAAUGCAUGUUGCUAUUUGUUCAUACAUGCAUGUGUCAGAAUAGGUAUUAAUUUACAUACAACAUUACACUUUCUGAAGACGGCUAACUCAGUCAUGUACAUAUAUACAUCCCAGUCUCUAACUUAUGCACCACUGUUUCACACUUUUUAGUUUAGUUGUUGUUCAGUAUAAUAACCUU
Long non-coding RNA from Oreochromis aureus, 678 nucleotides. RefSeq lists it as uncharacterized. Lineage: Eukaryota; Metazoa; Chordata; Actinopteri; Cichliformes; Cichlidae. The transcript is spliced from 3 exons. The record is from RefSeq and is a predicted model, not a curated record.